GAUGAACGCUGGCGGCGUGCCUAAUACAUGCAAGUCGAGCGAACGGACGCGUAGCUUGCUUCUCUGAUGUUAGCGGCGGACGUGUGAGUAACACGUGGAUAACCUACCUAUAAGACUGGGAUAACUUCGGGAAACUGGAGCUAAUACCGUAUAAUAUUUUGAUCCGCAUGGUUCAAAAGUUAAAGACGUUCUUGCUGUAACUUCUAGAUGGAUCCGCGCUGCAUUAGCUAGUUGGUACGGUAACGGCUUACCAAGGCAACGAUGCAUAGCCGACCUGAGAGGGGGAAGGGCGACACUGAAACUGAGAAGCGGCACAGGCGCCUAGGGAAGGCAGAAGUAGGGAAUGUAGAGAAAUGGGCGAAAGAAUGAAGGAGGAACGCAGAGUGAGUGAUGAAGGGCUUCGGAUCGUAAAACUCUGUUAUGAGGGAAGAACAUAUGUGUAAGGAACUGAGCAGAUCGUGACGGUACCUAAUCAGAAAGCAACGGCUAACUACGUG
RNAcentral lists this ribosomal RNA (497 nucleotides) under uncultured bacterium. RNAcentral's name for it is "partial 16S ribosomal RNA". It matches the Rfam family "Bacterial small subunit ribosomal RNA", at positions 28 to 507 of the family's 1533-position model. The record is from RNAcentral.